UGAUAAUGGUGUACAUAAUCUCUCACAUCACAAUUAUCUAAAUCCACAUUUAUUCCAUCUUUUCAUCUCUCUUGCAACACAUUACAAAUUUGCUUUAUAAAAAUUCCACAUAUUAACGCUGACUAAUUCAGACACUAUUUUAUGUGAGGUAUUAUGGACACCAUUAUGACAAACUCAUGACAUUCUAAAUGUGAAGAAAACCAUAUGUUAAUUACCUUCUCUAAUAAUUACAUGGCAUAUAAUUUAUUAAACAUUUCCUUCAUUUUGUAAACAAAAUCGGACCUCAAAAUAUGUAUAGACAGUUGUACUUCCUGGCCAAAUAGCUAGCAGACUAAGAAUUCUAAUGAUGUACCCCAAAAAUAUAUUUACAGCAAUCACCAACUUAAUGCAUUCUCAUUCAUAUUCUCUCUCUCUCUCUCUCUCUCUCUCUCUCUCUGGUAUUUCAUUUAUCAGCCAUGCAGUCAUCAUUCUCCUCCCUACCACCAUCUGUACAUACUUUCCCAAUAGACCAUCACAGCUGUCCUAUUUUUCACACACACGGAACCUUUUAUAUGCUUUCCAACUGUUUUUAAUAACUAUUCUGUGCUUAGCACUGUACUUCCUUUGUCUUCUUCACAAAUAUGAAAAGAUAUUAUCUGAACAAACAGGUUAUCACAGGAAAAGCUUUUUUAUUAUUAAAGAGAGAGAGAGAGAACACAAGAAGGGGGAGAGAGCAAUGAGAACAUUACAGUAUUGAUCAUUCCAAAGACUCCAAACAUCUUAGACUCCAGUGGCUAGUCUAGCCUAUUGAUGAAAGGUGUUAAGAAAAC
This is a long non-coding RNA of Varanus komodoensis (Komodo dragon), 809 nucleotides long. RefSeq lists it as uncharacterized. The record is from RefSeq and is a predicted model, not a curated record. Lineage: Eukaryota; Metazoa; Chordata; Lepidosauria; Squamata; Varanidae. The transcript has 3 exons.